This is a non-coding RNA of Phrynosoma platyrhinos (Desert horned lizard), 72 nucleotides long. The record is from the annotation of a GenBank genome assembly. NCBI's taxonomy places the organism in Eukaryota, Metazoa, Chordata, Lepidosauria, Squamata, Phrynosomatidae.
GCCAGUGUGGUGUAGUGGUUUGAAUGCUGGACUAUGACACUGGAGACCUGGGUUCAAAACCUUGCUCAGCCA